GAUGAAGAACGUAGCGAAAUGCGAUACGUAAUGUGAAUUGCAGAAUUCAGUGAAUCAACGAAUCUUUGAACGCACAUUGCGCCUGCCAGCACUCUGGCAGGCAUGCCUGUUCGAGCGUCAUUUCAACCAUCAAGCCCUAGGCUUGCGUUGGAGCCCUGCGGCUGCCGCAGGCCCCUAAAAGCAGUGGCGGGCUCGCUAUCACACCGAGUGCAGUAGAUUACUCUUCGCUCAGGGCGUGUGGCGGGUUCCAGCCGUGAAACCCCCUACUUCUCAAGGUUGACCUCGGAUCAGGUAGGAAUACCCGCUGAACUUAAGCAUAUCAAUAAGCGGAGGA
This 334-nucleotide unclassified non-coding RNA is filed under the name soil metagenome. RNAcentral describes it as "partial contains 5.8S ribosomal RNA, internal transcribed spacer 2, and large subunit ribosomal RNA". The stretch from base 1 to 120 matches the Rfam family "5.8S ribosomal RNA", at positions 35 to 154 of the family's 154-position model. The record is from RNAcentral.